RNAcentral lists this ribosomal RNA (253 nucleotides) under uncultured bacterium. RNAcentral describes it as "partial 16S ribosomal RNA". It matches the Rfam family "Bacterial small subunit ribosomal RNA", at positions 524 to 776 of the family's 1533-position model. The record is from RNAcentral.
GACGUAGGGCGCGAGCGUUGUCCGGAUUUAUUGGGCGUAAAGAGCUCGUAGGCGGCUUGUCGCGUCGACUGUGAAAACCCGCGGCUCAACUGCAGGCUUGCGGGCGAUACGGGCAGGCUAGAGUUCGGUAGGGGAGACUGGAAUUCCUGGUGUAGCGGUGAAAUGCGCAGAUAUCAGGAGGAACACCGGUGGCGAAGGCGGGUCUCUGGGCCGAUACUGACGCUGAGGAGCGAAAGCGUGGGGAGCGAACAGG